GAGGACCGAACCGACUAAUGUUGAAAAAUUAGCGGAUGACCUGUGGCUGGGGGUGAAAGGCCAAUCAAACCGGGAGAUAGCUGGUUCUCCCCGAAAGCUAUUUAGGUAGCGCCUCGUGAACUCAUCUCCGGGGGUAGAGCACUGUUUCGGCUAGGGGGCCAUCCCGGCUUACCAACCCGAUGCAAACUGCGAAUACCGGAGAAUGUUAUCACGGGAGACACACGGCGGGUGCUAACGUCCGUCGUGAAGAGGGAAACAACCCAGACCGCCAGCUAAGGUCCCAAAGUCAUGGUUAAGUGGGAAACGAUGUGGGAAGGCCCAGACAGCCAGGAUGUUGGCUUAGAAGCAGCCAUCAUUUAAAGAAAGCGUAAUAGCUCACUGGUCGAGUCGGCCUGCGCGGAAGAUGUAACGGGGCUAAACCAUGCAC
Molecule: ribosomal RNA, 427 nt
Filed under: Salmonella enterica subsp. diarizonae
Lineage: Bacteria; Pseudomonadati; Pseudomonadota; Gammaproteobacteria; Enterobacterales; Enterobacteriaceae
Description: partial 23S ribosomal RNA
Rfam family: Bacterial large subunit ribosomal RNA
Source: RNAcentral